AGGCUUAACACAUGCAAGUCGAGGGGCAGCACAGGUAGCAAUACCGGGUGGCGACCGGCGCACGGGUGAGUAACGCGUAUGCAACUUACCUAUCAGAGGGGGAUAACCCGGCGAAAGUCGGACUAAUACCGCAUGAAGCAGGGAUCCCGCAUGGGAAUAUUUGCUAAAGAUUCAUCGCUGAUAGAUAGGCAUGCGUUCCAUUAGGCAGUUGGCGGGGUAACGGCCCACCAAACCGACGAUGGAUAGGGGUUCUGAGAGGAAGGUCCCCCACAUUGGUACUGAGACACGGACCAAACUCCUACGGGAGGCAGCAGUGAGGAAUAUUGGUCAAUGGGCGUAAGCCUGAACCAGCCAAGUCGCGUGAGGGAUGAAGGUUCUAUGGAUCGUAAACCUCUUUUAUAAGGGAAUAAAGUGCGGGACGUGUCCCGUUUUGUAUGUACCUUAUGAAUAAGGAUCGGCUAACUCCGUGCCAGCAGCCGCGGUAAUACGGAGGAUCCGAGCGUUAUCCGGAUUUAUUGGGUUUAAAGGGUGCGUAGGCGGCCUUUUAAGUCAGCGGUGAAAGUCUGUGGCUCAACCAUAGAAUUGCCGUUGAAACUGGGGGGCUUGAGUAUGUUUGAGGCAGGCGGAAUGCGUGGUGUAGCGGUGAAAUGCUUAGAUAUCACGCAGAACCCCGAUUGCGAAGGCAGCCUGCCAAGCCAUGACUGACGCUGAUGCACGAAAGCGUGGGGAUCAAACAGGAUUAGAUACCCUGGUAGUCCACGCAGUAAACGAUGAUCACUAGCUGUUUGCGAUACAGUGUAAGCGGCACAGCGAAAGCGUUAAGUGAUCCACCUGGGGAGUACGCCGGCAACGGUGAAACUCAAAGGAAUUGACGGGGGCCCGCACAAGCGGAGGAACAUGUGGUUUAAUUCGAUGAUACGCGAGGAACCUUACCCGGGUUUGAACGCAUUCGGACCGAGGUGGAAACACCUUUUCUAGCAAUAGCCGUUUGCGAGGUGCUGCAUGGUUGUCGUCAGCUCGUGCCGUGAGGUGUCGGCUUAAGUGCCAUAACGAGCGCAACCCUUGCCACUAGUUACUAACAGGUGAUGCUGAGGACUCUGGUGGGACUGCCAGCGUAAGCUGCGAGGAAGGCGGGGAUGACGUCAAAUCAGCACGGCCCUUACAUCCGGGGCGACACACGUGUUACAAUGGCGUGGACAAAGGGAAGCCACCUGGCGACAGGGAGCGAAUCCCCAAACCACGUCUCAGUUCGGAUCGGAGUCUGCAACCCGACUCCGUGAAGCUGGAUUCGCUAGUAAUCGCGCAUCAGCCAUGGCGCGGUGAAUACGUUCCCGGGCCUUGUACACACCGCCCGUCAAGCCAUGGGAGCCGGGGGUACCUGAAGUCCGUAACCGAAAGGAUCGGCCUAGGGUAAAACUGGUGACUGGGGCUAAGUCGUAACAAGGUAGCCGUACCGGAAGGUGCGGCUG
This 1469-nucleotide ribosomal RNA is filed under the name gut metagenome. RNAcentral describes it as "bacterial SSU rRNA". It matches the Rfam family "Bacterial small subunit ribosomal RNA". The record is from RNAcentral.